This 427-nucleotide ribosomal RNA is filed under the name uncultured bacterium. Its description in RNAcentral is "bacterial SSU rRNA". It matches the Rfam family "Bacterial small subunit ribosomal RNA", at positions 356 to 773 of the family's 1533-position model. The record is from RNAcentral.
GGGGAAUUGUUCGCAAUGGGCGCAAGCCUGACGACGCAACGCCGCGUGGAGGAUGAAGACCUUCGGGUCGUAAACUCCUUUCGAUCGAGACGAAUGGCCUCCGGGUGAACAAUCCGGAGGAAUGACGGUACCGAGAGAAGAAGCCCCGGCUAACUCCGUGCCAGCAGCCGCGGUAAUACGGGGGGAGCAAGCGUUGUUCGGAUUUACUGGGCGUAAAGGGCGCGUAGGCGGCCACCGCAAGUCGACUGUGAAAUCUCCGGGCUUAACCCGGAAAGGUCAGCCGAUACUGCGGGGCUAGAGUGCAGAAGGGGCAACUGGAAUUCUCGGUGUAGCGGUGAAAUGCGUAGAUACCGAGAGGAACACCUGCGGCGAAGGCGGGUUGCUGGGCUGACACUGACGCUGAAGCGCGAAAGCUAGGGGAGCGAAC